GUGCCAGCAGCCGCGGUAAUACCAGCCCCCUGAGUGGUAAGGACGAUUAUUUGGCCUAAAGCGUCCGUAGCCGGCUUGGUAAGUCUUUCGUUAAAUCCGACGAUUCCAUCGUCGGCCCGCGGAAGAUACUGCUAGGCUUGAGGGCGGGAGAAGUCGACGGUAGUCCCGGGGUAGGGGUGAAAUCCUAUAAUCCUGGGAGGACCACCAGUGGCGAAGGCGGUUGACUAGAACGUGCCUGACGGUGAUGGACGAAAGCUGGGGGAGCGAACCGGAUUAGACACCCGGGUAGUCCCAGCUGUAAACGAUGCGAGCUAGGUGUUAGGGCAACUAUGAGUUGCUCUAGUGCCGCAGAGAAGUUGUUAAGCUCGCCGCCUGGGAAGUACGGCCGCAAGGCUGAAACUUAAAGGAAUUGACGGGG
RNAcentral lists this ribosomal RNA (418 nucleotides) under uncultured prokaryote. RNAcentral's name for it is "bacterial SSU rRNA". It matches the Rfam family "Archaeal small subunit ribosomal RNA", at positions 455 to 873 of the family's 1478-position model. The record is from RNAcentral.